RNAcentral lists this ribosomal RNA (292 nucleotides) under uncultured bacterium. RNAcentral describes it as "partial 16S ribosomal RNA". It matches the Rfam family "Bacterial small subunit ribosomal RNA", at positions 505 to 796 of the family's 1533-position model. The record is from RNAcentral.
GUGCCAGCAGCCGCGGUAAGACGAAGGUGGCGACCGUUGUUCGGAAUCACUGGGCAUAAAGAGCUCGUAGGCGGUGAGGAAAGUCGGGUGUGAAAUCCCUCGGCCCAACCGAGGAACUGCGCUCGAAACUGCCUUGCUUGAGGACGGAAGGGGACCACGGAAUUCCUGGUGGAGCGGUGAAAUGCGUUGAUAUCAGGAGGAACACCGGCGGCGAAGGCGGUGGUCUGGUCCGUUUCUGACGCUGAGGAGCGAAAGCUAGGGGAGCAAACGGGAUUAGAAACCCCGGUAGUCC